AUACGUAGGGAGCGAGCGUUGUCCGGAAUUACUGGGUGUAAAGGGAGCGUAGGCGGGAGUGCAAGUCAGAUGUGAAAUACAUGGGCUCAACCCAUGGGCUGCAUUUGAAACAGCAUUUCUUGAGUGAAGUAGAGGUAAGCGGAAUUCCUGGUGUAGCGGUGAAAUGCGUAGAUAUCAGGAGGAACACCGGUGGCGAAGGCGGCUUACUGGGCUUUUACUGACGCUGAGGCUCGAAAGCGUGGGGAGCAAACAGGAUUAGAUACCCUGGUAGUCCACGCUGUAAACGAUGAUUACUAGGUGUGGGGGGACUGACCCCUUCCGUGCCGCAGUUAACACAAUAAGUAAUCCACCUGGGGAGUACGGCCGCAAGGUUGAAACUCAAAUGAAUUGACGGGG
RNAcentral lists this ribosomal RNA (396 nucleotides) under uncultured bacterium. Its description in RNAcentral is "partial 16S ribosomal RNA". It matches the Rfam family "Bacterial small subunit ribosomal RNA", at positions 523 to 918 of the family's 1533-position model. The record is from RNAcentral.